Molecule: transfer RNA, 76 nt
Filed under: Acidobacteriota bacterium
Lineage: Bacteria; Pseudomonadati; Acidobacteriota
Description: Acidobacteria bacterium (activated sludge metagenome) tRNA-Asn
Rfam family: tRNA
About the family: Transfer RNA (tRNA) molecules are approximately 80 nucleotides in length.
Source: RNAcentral
UCCGAUUUAGCUCAUCGAGUAGAGCAUUCGACUGUUAAUCGAAAGGAAACCGGUGCAAUUCCGGUAAUCGAAACCA